UCCCUGGAGGACUAGUGGUUAGGCCUCGGCCCUAUCACUGCUGCGGCCCGGGCUCGAUUCCCGGCCGGGGAA
RNAcentral lists this transfer RNA (72 nucleotides) under Pangasius djambal. Its description in RNAcentral is "tRNA-Asp". It matches the Rfam family "tRNA". From Rfam's summary of the family: Transfer RNA (tRNA) molecules are approximately 80 nucleotides in length. The record is from RNAcentral. Lineage: Eukaryota; Metazoa; Chordata; Actinopteri; Siluriformes; Pangasiidae.